RNAcentral lists this ribosomal RNA (508 nucleotides) under uncultured bacterium. Its description in RNAcentral is "bacterial SSU rRNA". It matches the Rfam family "Bacterial small subunit ribosomal RNA", at positions 772 to 1274 of the family's 1533-position model. The record is from RNAcentral.
ACUCAAUAGAUACCCAGGUAGUCCUAGCAGUAAACGGUGCACAUUUGGUGUGGGGGGAAUCGACCCCUUCCGCGCCGGAGCUAAACGCGUUAAAUGUGCCGCCUGGGAAGUACGGUCGCAAGAUUAAAACUCAAAGAAAUUGACGGGGACCCGCACAAGCGGUGGAGUAUGUGGCUUAAUUCGAUGCAACGCGAAGAACCUUACCUGGUCUUGACAUGCACUGUGUCUCCGGUGAAAGCCGGAUAGGGUAGCAAUACCCGCUUUGCACAGGUGCUGCAUGGCUGUCGUCAGCUCGUGUCGUGAGAUGUUGGGUUAAGUCCCGCAACGAGCGCAACCCCGUGUGAUUUGUUGCCACCUGGUUUUCCAGAGCACUCGAAUCAGACUGCCUAGAUCAACUAGGAGGAAGGUGGGGAUGACGUCAAGUCCGUAUGGCCCUUACGACCAGGGCUGCACACGUACUACAAUGCCCAGCACAAUGUGAACCGAUACCGCGAGGUGGAGGAAAUCC